AGUUUGAUCCUGGCUCAGGACGAACGCUGGCGGCGUGCUUAACACAUGCAAGUCGAACGAGAAUCUGUGGAAAGAGGAUUCGUCCAAUUGAAGCAGAGGACAGUGGCGGACGGGUGAGUAACGCGUGAGGAACCUGCCUUUCAGAGGGGGACAACAGUUGGAAACGACUGCUAAUACCGCAUGACACAUUGAGGUCGCAUGGCCUUAAUGUCAAAGAUUUAUCGCUGAAAGAUGGCCUCGCGUCUGAGUAGCUAGUGUGAGGUACGCCACAACAGGGCGACGAAUCAGUAGCGGACUGAAGGUGGACCGCCUACAUGGACUGAGAAUCGCUAGACUCCUACGGGAGGCAGCAGUGGGAAUAUUGGCAUUGGCGCAGCUGACCAGCAACGCGCGUGAGAGAGCUUUCGGGUGUAACUCUUUUGUCAGGACGAGUAGAGACGUACUGACGAUAAGCACGCUACUACGUGCAGCAGCGCGUAAUACGUAGUGCAGCGUGUCCGAUUACUGGGUGUAAAGGGCGUGUAGCCGGAGGGCAAGUCAGAUGUGAAAUCCACGGGCUUAACUCGUGAACUGCAUUUGAAACUGUCUUCUUGAGUAUCGGAGAGGCAAUCGGAAUUCCUAGUGUAGCGGUGAAAUGCGUAGAUAUUAGGAGGAACACCAGUGGCGAAGGCGGAUUGCUGGACGACAACUGACGGUGAGGCGCGAAAGCGUGGGGAGCAAACAGGAUUAGAUACCCUGGUAGUCCACGCUGUAAACGAUGAAUACUAGGUGUGCGGGGACUGACCCCCUGCGUGCCGCAGUUAACACAAUAAGUAUUCCACCUGGGGAGUACGACCGCAAGGUUGAAACUCAAAGGAAUUGACGGGGGCCCGCACAAGCAGUGGAUUAUGUGGUUUAAUUCGACGCAACGCGAAGAACCUUACCAGGACUUGACAUCCAACUAACGAAGUAGAGAUACAUUAGGUGCCCUUCGGGGAAAGUUGAGACAGGUGGUGCAUGGUUGUCGUCAGCUCGUGUCGUGAGAUGUUGGGUUAAGUCCCGCAACGAGCGCAACCCCUAUUGUUAGUUGCUACGAAAGAGCACUCUAGCGAGACUGCCGUUGACAAAACGGAGGAAGGCGGGGACGACGUCAAAUCAUCAUGCCCCUUAUGUCCUGGGCUACACACGUAACACAAUGGUGGCGAACAGAGGGAAGCAAAGCCGCGAGGCAGAGCAAAACCCUAAAAGCCAUCUCAGUUCGGAUUGCAGGCUGCAACUCGCCUGCAUGAAGCUGGAAUUGCUAGUAAUCGCGGAUCAGAAAGCCGCGGUGAAUACGUUCCCGGGCCUUGCACACACCGCCCGUC
RNAcentral lists this ribosomal RNA (1343 nucleotides) under uncultured bacterium. RNAcentral's name for it is "bacterial SSU rRNA". It matches the Rfam family "Bacterial small subunit ribosomal RNA". The record is from RNAcentral.